This 347-nucleotide unclassified non-coding RNA is filed under the name soil metagenome. RNAcentral describes it as "partial contains 5.8S ribosomal RNA, internal transcribed spacer 2, and large subunit ribosomal RNA". The stretch from base 1 to 120 matches the Rfam family "5.8S ribosomal RNA", at positions 35 to 154 of the family's 154-position model. The record is from RNAcentral.
GAUGAAGAACGCAGCGAAAUGCGAUACGUAAUGUGAAUUGCAGAAUUCAGUGAAUCAUCGAAUCUUUGAACGCACAUUGCGCCCGCCAGUAUUCUGGCGGGCAUGCCUGUCUGAGCGUCAUUUCAACCCUCAUGCCCCUAGGGCGUGGUGUUGGGGAUCGGCCAAAGCCCGCGAGGGACGGCCGGCCCCUAAAUCUAGUGGCGGACCCGUCGUGGCCUCCUCUGCGAAGUAGUGAUAUUCCGCAUCGGAGAGCGAUGAGCCCCUGCCGUUAAACCCCCAACUUUCCAAGGUUGACCUCAGAUCAGGUAGGAAUACCCGCUGAACUUAAGCAUAUCAAUAAGCGAGGA